Dreissena polymorpha is the source of this 451-nucleotide long non-coding RNA. RefSeq lists it as uncharacterized. Lineage: Eukaryota; Metazoa; Mollusca; Bivalvia; Myida; Dreissenidae. The transcript is spliced from 3 exons. The record is from RefSeq and is a predicted model, not a curated record.
CGGGAAAUGGAAUUAGUGUAAUGUAACCUUUAUCAACAACAAAAAGAAGCGAAAAACGAAAUCGCUAGUAAAUACCUUAUUGAUGAUGAAAACACAAUCGAUUUUUCGUUCCGAUCAUAUACCAAUCAUCAAUUGUGUGUCAAAUUAUAUGGUUAUUAGAAAUUUAUGGGAGUUGGUUUAAUCAAAAAAGGUAUUUAGCUUAGGACUAAUUACUCGUCGUCAUUUCGGACGACAAUAUUUCGGACAAAUGUUAUGACAAGGCCAUAUACACAGGGGCGAAGAAGAUGCAAAAAGCUUUUCCCAGGCAAACAAAAACAAACAAUGGUACCAGUACCUGUGAUAGCUUAGGAUAAAGACAAGGACAUUUAGUUGUGAUGUCAAACCUUCCUCAGAAACAGAUAGCCUAGACCGUUCGAAAGCACCUCAUGAAGAUAUACAGUCAAUUCAUAGG